GAUCGAAUGACUCGUUGUCUUCUCAGACAACGUCUCUCGGAAUCUUCUAAGGCACAAAUUGCACGAAGCAUAAUCCACUCGUCCGCCAUGAUUAAAAUUAAUCAAACACCGCUCCCGUUUUGCUAUCUCGACUGUCCGAGACAAGCGAGUAGCCGUGAGAAGCGUGUUCAGUGUCGAGACUACCGUUUUAAGAUCGCCUACCGUGUUGAUAUCACGUGACACUGCAACACGCUACUCGAAAAACUCGAGACUACGGCCCCUGAAAUUCAAAUUAAUAUCGUCCAUACGUUUUUAUUACGUGUCCAGUGACACUUUGUAACUCGGUUUUUAAAGCUGCAAGCACUGGUGUAAGAUUAUCAA
Molecule: long non-coding RNA, 360 nt
Filed under: Androctonus crassicauda
Lineage: Eukaryota; Metazoa; Arthropoda; Arachnida; Scorpiones; Buthidae
Source: RNAcentral